UAUUUAUUUAUUUAUUUUUUGAGAUGGAGUUUCGCUCUUGUUGCCCAGGCUGGAGUGCAAUGGUGAGAUCUCUGCUCACUGCAACCUCCACCUCCCAGGUUCAAGGGAUUCUUGUGCCUCAGCCUCCUGAGUAGCUGAGAUUACAGGCACCCACCACCACGUCCGGCUAAGUUGUUGUUUUUUGUUUUUGUUCUUGUUUUUUUGAGAGAUGGAGUCUUGAUCUGUCACCCAGGCUGGAGUGGAGUGGCGGUAUCUCGGCUCACUGCAACCUCCACCUCCCGGGUUUGAGCGAUUCUCCUGCCUCAGCUUCCCAAGUAGCUGGGACCACAGACGUUUGCCACCACUCCCAGUUAAUUUUUGUAUUUUUUUAGUAGAGUUGGGGUUUCACUAUAUGUUGGCCAGCCUGGUCUCAAACUCCUGACCUCAGGUGAUCUGCCCACCUCGGCCUCCCAAAGUGUUGGGAUUAUAGGCGUGAGCCACCGUGCCUGGCCAAUUUUUUGUAUUUUUUUGUAGAGACGGGGUUUCACCAUGUUGGCCAGGCUGGUCUUGAAUUCCUGGCCUCAGGUUAUCCGCCUGCCUGAGCCUCCCAAAGUGCUGGAUUACAGGCAUGACCCACCAAACCCAGCCCAAAUAUAUUUGCAUAUAUAUAUAUUUUAAUAUCCCACGCCUACACUCUGGGAUAACUCAGCUCUUACAGGCAGUAAUCAUGGGUCAGACCUGCCAUUAUCCAGUUCAGCCCAUUUCAUUUGACAGACACCUGGUGAAUAGAGACAUGCAGGGACUCUUGUCCACAUUUGCCCAGUUGGCUGAUAGCACAGUGUACAAAGUCUGUCUGCAGCAGGUCAUAAUUUCACAGCUCUGCCACAUGCAUGUAUAUCACUGUACCAAGCGUGUUCACAUGGUAUGGUGCUGACACAUGUUGACGGAAUGUGGUACAGACCCUCUGUGUGAAGUGUGUUCACACAGUGCGGUGCUGACCCUCUGUAUGAAGCGUGUUCACACGGUGCGGUGCUGACUCUCUGUAUGAAGCGUGUUCACCUGGUGCAGGACAGACUCUCUGCAUGAAGCAUGUUCACACAGUGCGGUGCUGACCCUCUGUAUGAAGCAUGUUCACACAGUGCGGUGCUGACCCUCUGUAUGAAGCGUGUUCACACAGUGCAUGUGAAACCAGAACCGACAGUCGAACCCAAGCAGAAGUCUUGACCAAGCACUUCCCUCCUGGGAAUGCACCAUGAUAUCACCACACCGAAGUCCAGGCUGGCAAAUAGGGACAUUUAAGUGACAUUUAAGCUCGUGGUGGCCCUAUGAGGAGUCAUUGCUGACUGAGAUGGGAUUUUAAGGUGUUGCCUGCCUGUGUGUUCUCAGACCCUCUCCUGAAGCCCC
This 1383-nucleotide long non-coding RNA is filed under the name Homo sapiens (human). RNAcentral describes it as "HSALNT0099878". The record is from RNAcentral. Lineage: Eukaryota; Metazoa; Chordata; Mammalia; Primates; Hominidae.